CAUUUUGUUAUGUGUGAGACAGCUGGCUUCACCACAUCUUUCUUCGAGAUAGUUCCACUCUGAUUUUCUUCGUUCCAUUCUUACCCAUUCCUUCUCCCAUGUCUGAUGUCUCCUCCAAGCUCUCUCCUCUAGGCAGGCUAAAAGCACAAAUUUUUCUGAAGUUUGGUUCUCUACUAUUGUCGAUGAUGAAUCGAUUGUGGCUGUGCAUUAACUGAAGCUCGUUUGUUUACUCUCCAAAAAGGGUGGGCAUGCUCGACUGAAAGGAGAGGAAAGCUUCUUCACUUUCGGCAUGUAGCAAUAGACAAGUGAGAAUUUCAAUCAGAAGAGCAAAGUAUUGUGUCGAAUGUAGUCAACAAAUGGGGUUGGCACUUAAGCCUUUGGCUCAACAACUGGGAAGAUACGGGUGAACAAGGAGAAAAAUAUUAUCCUUUACUGCAGAGGAGAUUUAUGAUAUAACUUUAAUCUAGCACCAACCUCAACUGACAUUGGCGAAGGCAGCAAAAGAAAGAACCCUUUAGUUGUGACGAUGAAGAAAAUCUUUUGUUGCUCGAAUGAAAAAGUAGAAUUACCGACUGGACAAGGUAAAGCAAAUCUCUGUUGCAGCUCACUUUUGGCUUUUUGGCUUGUACAUACUGCUGAGCUAUAACUUAAGGACAUUUAAACAGAAGAAACUCACUUUUGUGUGGAGAAUGCAGCUGAGAAAGACUCAACUUUAGUCAUUUAUAUGGACAUGUCAACUCUUACCUUUCGUGCCUCAGAGUUGAUCCAUCAUGAGUUGCCGCAUAAUACGUCAGCUAUUGUCAUCCAGUGAAUAGACCAAACAUCAAGCCAAACGUCAAAAAUACACAAACUGAGGAAUCAGAGAACCCAAGAGAUGAUGCUUCAAGGAAAUUGCGUGAAAGAGACUGGAAAACAUCUGUUGAAAACAAUUGCACAUGUCUAUUUUGACUGAAACUUCAUUCGUUGACUAUGAUUUAUAAUGUAACUUCUUGUGAUUCUUGAGAACAAAUACGAGGGAGCCAACAUUUUUUAGUAGUACAAAGUCAUGGCAAUACAGUAGAUGGCAGUCAAUCAGGAUAUGUAAGUCUGUUUAUGGCGUAAAGUGUAAACAAGGGUGGAAUACAUGUGUUUCUUUGAUACGUGACUCUUCGGCCCGUGCUCUCAUCUAGUAUAUAAUAAGUGAAGGUUAUGAGAUA
Non-coding RNA from Nicotiana tabacum (common tobacco), 1196 nucleotides. NCBI's taxonomy places the organism in Eukaryota, Viridiplantae, Streptophyta, Magnoliopsida, Solanales, Solanaceae. The record is from RefSeq and is a predicted model, not a curated record.